UGAUUACAGGGUUACAGGGUCAUGUCAGCCUCAGAGACUGGAAUCACAGGAUCAUCAAGGGCUAUGGGAGUUCAUGAUGGUUCCUCUAUGUUUUGAUGGUGAAAAUGAGUAUAGAAGGCAUUGAGCUCAUAGGGAAAUGAAGCCCUGUUGUCUCUUAUGUUGUUUGAUUUUACUAAUAUUAUUUAAGCACUACCACAACUGUCGAAAAUCCUUUAUUGAUUCAAGUUUAGUCUGGAAUUGGCACUUCACCUGUGAGAGGUCUUUCUGGAGAUCAUAACUGGACCACUAGUACCUGUCUGGGUCACCAGACUUGAAUGCCUCUGAUCUGGCCUUCAGCAGAUUAUCGAUCUCAGGUCUUCUGGUUGGGGAAGACUAUGAGUGAUUUCGUGGGGAUACACUCAUCUGCAACUAUUUUAAUAAUGUCCAUGACAACCAUUGUGUAUUCAUUCAGAUGCACAGAUGAAUCAUUGAACAUGAUCCAGUCCACCUACUCGAAGCAAUCUUGUAGCCUCCCUUGACCACUUCUUUGGCAUCCUAAUCUCUCGAGUUUUGCUUUUUAAUCACUGCUUCUAUGCAGAUAGGAGAAGGACAGCUAAGUAAUCCAAUUUACCGAAGCGUGAUCUGGGCAUGGAGUUGUAGGCAUUUCUUAUCUUUGUAUAAUAGAGGCUUACUGUGUUGGGACCUCUGGUGCUGCAGGUUAUCUGUUGGGGAAGUCCCUGACUUUGAUUUGAAAUGCAUCAGGAUGGACUGUUUCUUGUUUGGAGAUGGCACCAGGCAGUAUCUCAAGCACUUGAUUAUUGUCGGCUGCUGGUGGUAUAUAAACUGCAGUCAGGAUUAUGGAGGAGAACUCCCUAGGUCAAUAAAAUGGAUGGCAUUUGAUCAUUAGGUGUUCAUGGUUGGGGGGAACACAAGUUUGACGAAGCUGCCACAUCAGAGCACCACUGUGAGUUUAUCAAGAAACACACAUCCUCCACCUUUUGCCUUUUCAGAAUCAGUAGUUCAGUCCAUGCUGUGAAUCUGGAAGCCUUCGGGUCUGAUUGCUAUAUCUGGUGUGCUGGGAGUAAGCUAUGUCAUGGUCAAACAUGGAAUAUAACUAAGUUCAAGGUAAAAUUUAUUAUUAGAGUGCAUACAUGUCACCACAUACAAUUCUAAGAUUAUUUCUCUGCGGGCAUACUUGGCAAAUCUAUAGAAGAGUAACUAAACUGUAAACAUCAGGAAUUGUUAACUGUGAAUAAACUGUGCAAAUGCUGAUAUAAAUAAAUAGCAAUAAAUAAUACACAUGAAAUAGCAACAUAUGAGAGUCCAUAGAUUAGUGUAGCCAUCCCCUUUUGUUCAAGAGCCUGGUGGUUGAGGGGUAGUAACUGUUCUUGAACCUGGUGGUGUGAGUCCUGAGGUUCUGGAACCUUCUACCUGAUGGCAGCAGUGAGAAGAGCACGGCCUGCGUGGUGAGGAUCUUCGAUGAUGGAUGCUGCUUUUCUAUGGCAAUGCUUCAUGUAGUUGUGCUCAAUGGUUGGAAGAGUUUUACCCAUGAUGUACUGAGACAUAUCCACUACCUUUUGCAGGAUCUUCCACUCAAAGGCACUGAUGUUCUCAUACCAAGCCGUAAUGCAGCCAAUCAGUACAUUUGCCACCGCACAUCUGUAGUAAAUUGCCAGGGUUUUCCAUGACAUGCCAAACCUCCAUACACUCCUGAGGAAGUAGAGACACAGUCGUGCUUUCUUUAUUCGUGCAAUUAUAUUUAUAUGAUGGCUCUAGGACAGUUCCUCUGGGAUAGUGACAAACUCUUUUUUCCCCUCCAUUAUAGCAAACUUGCCUUCAGGUCCUCAAUUUUGUUCUCCUGCGACUGCACAUUUGAUAACAAGAUGCUGGGUAGGGGAGGUCUCAUUCCUCUGUGUUUCAGCCUGGCUUGGAGUCUCCCUCUCUCCAUUCCCCCUCUUGCUUCCAGCCAAGGUGACGGACCCUUGUCUGCUUAAAGGUGCAAUACCUGCUUGUUUGAGAAUCUGUCAAAUCCUUCUUAAAAUUGUAGAUGAUCAUGAAAUCAGUGAAAUUUGUCCAGGAGAAAAUAAACAUAUUAUCAGAAUGUGAGACACUGAAGAGUUAUGAGAUGCCAAGGAAUCUAGGUGUCCUCAUGAAAGAUUUGCAAAAUGCUAAUAUGCUAUAUUGCAAAUAGCUAGGAAAGCUAACAGAAUAUUAUAGAUUAUUUUUAAGGGGUAAGAUACUAAAUAAAGGAGUUUAUGCUUCAGUUAUAUUGGGCGAUUGCUGAGACAUCAUCUGGAGAAAUCUUGUGCAGUACUGACUUCCUUAUUUAAAGAAGGAUGUCAAUGCAUUGGAAGUACUUCGGAGAAUAUACAUGCAAAAAUAUACCUGGAAGAGAGGCUUUCCUUGUGAGGUUUGGCCAGGCUGGGAUUGCGUCCACAAGUUUAUAAGUGUGAGAGGUUAUGGAAGAUCUUAAAGAGGAAGAUGUCAUCUCUGAUGGGAUAAUUGAGAACUAGGGAUUGCUGUUUUAAAAUAAAGACCCAGUCAUUAAGACAGAGAUGAGGUGAUUCUUUUUUUUCAAAUGCAUCUGAUUUCUUGGACCUAUCUUCCUAAACUCGUGGAAGAAAACUCUUUGGUUUCUUUUAAGGCAGCAGUAGACGGAUUCUUAAUAAGCAGGAGAGUAAAGGGUUACUGCAGCAAAGUUGAGAUUACAAUCGUGUCAAUAACAAUAAAAGCAUAAAACAGGUUUGAGAGGCUGAGCACUCCACUCCUGUUCCUAAUUCCUAUUCUCAUAUGUAUACUCAUACUGGAGAAAAAGAAAUAAUUGAAUGGAAACUGAGCAAAUUAACUGUGUAAGGACUUCAAUUUGUAAUGAGGAGGAUUUAAGCUGAUGGAAUGAGAACACCCUCUUCAUAUCACAUCAUGCAGAGUAAAUCCUUUGAUGGAUUUACUGAGUAUGCUUGCAAGAAAAUAGAUCUCAGGUUUGUAUAUGGUGACAUAUAUGUACUUUGAUAAUAAAUUUACUUUGAACUUUUAGUCAUUAGGUUUUUCUGGGAGUGAUGCACCAUCAAUAACUCUCGGAGAUGUGAGGCAAGACAUAGGCUUUUAUUGGCUGGAAGAAAGAACAAGCAGCAAUUGACCACCACACGACAUCCUGGAGACUGAGGCUGUGUCUCCAAUCGCCAUUAUACUGGGGUCCGUGGGAGGAGCCACAGGAGCAGUCAGCAGGGGACGUGUCCAGACAGGUAUAUGUAGUUCACCACAUUCACCCCCCCCCCUUUGUUUUAAAAGAGAAUCCUCACGGGGCGAAGUUUCUUACAAGUAUAUUUACAGGUUAAGUCUAUCAGGUGGUCGAAUCUGUCACUGCGAUCUACGUAGUACUGGUGGUGAUUGUACAGGUGCCGGUGGUGCUUGCACUGGAGACGGUGGUUGUGCUGGUUCCAGCCUGACUGGAGGUGUCAGCCCACUAGGCGUCAGUGAUCCUUCAUGCGUGUGCGAGGCACCUGGUAUAUGUGUGUGCGAGACGCCUGGUAUAUGAGUGUCGUGAGGAGUCUGUGUAGGGCUCGGUGUGCGCAGUGUCACCUCGGGUACAGGGUUCAUAGUUACCGUGGAGAGUUCGGGGUAGUGGUCUGCUGCUCCUGCGGGCACCAGGUCGCGGACAGAGACCGUGUCCUCCCACCCAUCAGGUAAGACCACAUAGGCAUACUGGGGGUUCGCAUGUAGUAGGUGAACCCUCUCGACCAGCGGGAAGUAUUUAUUGCUCCUCGCAUGUUUCCGGAGCAGCACUGGCCCUGGGGAUGUCAGCCAAGCCAGUAGGGUAGUCCCAGUGGCAGACUUCCGGGGAAAAGAAAAUAGGCACUCAUGAGGGGUGGCAUUGGUGGACGUACAUAACAGGGAGCGGAUAGAGUGGAGUGCCUCAGGGAGGACCUCCUGCCAUCAAGAGACCGGCAACCCUUUCGACUUAAGGGCUAAAAGUGUGGCCUUCCACACUGUGGCAUUCUCCCUCUCCACCUGUCCAUUUCCCCGGGGAUUAUAGCUCGUGGUCCUACUAGUAGCAAUGCCCCUAGCCAGCAGGUACUGGUGCAGCUCGUCACUCAUAAAAGAGGACCCUCUAUCACUGUGGAUAUAGCAGGGAUAUCCGAACAGUGAAGAGCUGGCGCAGGGCUUUUAUGACGGACGUGGCAGUGGUGUUGGGGCAGGGGAUGGCAAAGGGGAACUGCGAGUACUCGUCGAUAAUGUUGAGAAAGUAGACAUUGCGGUUGGUGGAGGGAAGGGGGCCCUUAAAGUCAACACUCUGUCACUCAAAGGGGUGGGUGGCCUUGAUAAGUUGUGCCUUUUCAGGACGGUAGAAGUGCGGUUUGCACUCAGCGCAGACUUGGCAGUCCCUGGUCAUCGUCCUGAUGUCCUCAAGGGAGUAAGACAGGUUCCGGGCUUUCACGAAAUGGUAAAAUCGGGUGACCCCUGGGUGGCAAAGAUCUGCAUGGAGGGUGUAUAGCUGGUUGAGCUGUGCGCUGGCACACGCUCCCCAGGAUAGGGCAUCAGGGGGCUCAUUGAGCCUUCCAGGCCGGUACAGGAUAUCAUUGUUGUAGGUGGAGAGUUCUGUUCUCCACCUCAAAAUUUUAUCAUUUUUGAUUUUGCCCUGCUGUUGGUUGCUGAACAUGAACGCAACCGAGCGCUGGUCGGUCAGCAAGGUGAACCUUUUGCCGGCGAGAUAGUGCCUCCAGUGCUUAAUAGCUUCCACUAUGGCCUGGGCUUCUUUCUCCACUGUGGAGUGCCGAAUUUCAGAGCCUUGGAGGGUACAAGAAAAGAAUGCUACUGGCCUGCCUGCCUGAUUGAGGGUAGAAGCAAGCGCGGAAUCAGAGCGUCACUCUCUACUUGGUCUCGUCCACCGCAUGCAUCGUUGCUUUGGCAAUGUCCCCUUUAAUGCGGCUGAAGGCCGUGCUGGCCGCGGCUGAGAGGGGAAAUGCGGUGGACUAGACCAGGGGGCAGGCCUUGUCUGCGUAAUGGGGGACCCAUUGGGCGUAAUAGGAAAAGAAACCCAGGCACCAUCUGAGGGCUCUGAGGGUGGUGGGAAGAGGGAGUUCCAACAGGGGGCGCAUACGGUCGGGAUCAGGGCCAAUGACCCUGUUUUCCAUGACAUACCCAAGGAUAGUGAGUCGGGUGGUUCAGAACAUACACUUGUCCCUAUUAUAAGUAAGGUUCAGGGCUUUGGCCACUUGGAAAAAUCGUUGGAGGUUGGUGUUGUGAUCCGGCCAGUCAUGACCACAGAUGGUAAUGUUAUCCAGAUAGGGAAAUGUGGCCUUCAGUUGGUACUGGUCCACCAUCCGGUCCAUUUCCCUCUGGAAGACCGAGACACCAUUUGUGACACCGAAGGGGACGCACAGGAAGUGAUAGAGCCUGCCGCCCGCCUCGAAGGCGGUGUAGGGGUGGUCCUCUGGGUGGAUGGGGAGCUGGUGAUAAGCGGAUUUCAGAUCUAUUGUCGAGUACACCUUGUACUGAGCUAUCUGGUUGACCAUAUCCAUGAUGUGGGGUAGGGGGUACACGUCAAGCUGCGUGAACCUAUUGAUAGUCUGGCUAUAGUCCACGACCAUCCUAUUUUUCUGCCCAGUCUAAACAACAACCACCUGGGCCCUCUAAGGACUUGUGCUUGGCUCAAUGAUCCCCUCCCUGAGCAGCCGCUGCACCUCUGACUGAAUGAAGGCCCUGUCCCCCGCGCUGUUCCUCCUGCUUUUAGUUGCCACAGGUUUACAGUCAGGGGUUAGGUUGGUGAACAACGGUGGGGGAGGGAUCUUGAAGGUGGAGAGGCUGCAAGUGGUGUCAGUAGUGCAGCUGUCAGCAUGGUGUGUGGGUCAGUGUGUGUGUGUGGUCAGUAGCGGGGUAUAUGACAAAGUCCCACAAAACUGAGGAUUCCUGACAGUGACUGGUGGGAGGGGCCCGUCAUCUGCCAUAGUCACACUUUUGAGGUGGCUCUGGAAGUCCAGCCCCAAUAGCACAUGCGCACACAGUUGAGGCAUGACCAGUAGUGCAAAGUCCUGAUAUUCUGUGGCCUGCACCACCAGUGUCGCUACACAACCCCACCGGAUGUCUGUGGAAUGCGACCCAGAAGCCAAGGUGACCCUCUGGCUUACCGGCCGUGUCACGAGCCCGCAGCGUUGCACCGUGUCCGGGUUAAUAAAUCUCUCAGUGCUGCCCAUGUCAAACAGGCAGCUAGUCCUUUGCCCCUCCACCAGGAUGUCCAUCAUUGACCUUGCAAGCUGGUGUGGGGCACUUCGGUCAAGGGUUACGGAGGCCAGAGUUGAACCACCGUCUUGGUGCCCGGUAAGCACCGGUGGGUUGGGGGCGGGGCGAGGUGGCGCCGACAAAGAUGGCCGCCCCCAUGUCUUGCACGAGGCGGGCAGGCAAGAUGGCAGCGACCAAGAUGGUGGCCCCCAUGCCUCACACACAGCGGUGCCCGACCCCGCUCGUGGUUCCGACUUACAGACCUUGGCGAAAUGGCCCUUCUUCCGGCAGCUGGAGCAGGUAGCUUCUCGAGCCGGGCAGCGUUUUCAGGGGUGCUUUUCGAGUCCACAGAAGUAACACUGCACGGACUUGCGACUGGCAGCAGCUGUGGUCGGUUUCGCGGAGUUCAUGGACUCUCGACUGGCAGCGGCGAUGGUGAAUUAGCUUGCGGGUGGUGGGGUCUGAAGUGUCCAUGGAACAGGUGGGGGAUCGCAUGGCUGGACAGCGUCAGCGUUGUGCAGAUCAGCCUCUAGCGUGUCGACCGUCUCGAUCGCCGAGCGUAAGGUAAGAUCGGCAUUUUCCAGCAGCCACUGGCACACGUACACUGACCUGAUCCCCGUAAUGAAGGCGUCUCAUACUAGUAGCUCCGCAUGUUGUUCUGCCGUCAGUCCUCUGCAGUCACAGGCUUGCAUGAGUGUCUGUAGGGCUCGGAGAAACUCGGCGCUCGACUCGUUGGGUCGCUGUCGCUGCGUCGCUAAGCGAUGUCUUGCGUAGAUAGUGUUCCCCAGCCGCAGGUACUGUCUUUUGAGGGCGUCCAGUGCCCCUUGGUAGGUCAGCAGGUCUCUGAUAAGGGAGAAUACUUUCGGACUUACUCUGGAUAGUAGGAUUUUGUACAUUGUGGCAGGCUCAGUCACUGGAAUCGCUUCCAAGUAUGAUUGGUAGCAUGCAAGCCAGAGUUCAAAGGCGAGAGCUGCUUCUGGAGCUUGGGGGUCCAAGUCUAAUUUUUCCGGACGUAAAAUACAUUCCAUGUUUUAAAACUUCCAGCCAAUAAAAUUGAUGCACCAAUAAUAACUCUCGGAGACGUGAGGCGAGAUAUUGGCUUUUGUUGGCUGGAAGAAAGAACAAGCAGCAAUUGCCACCACACUACAUCCUGGAGACUGAGGCCGGGGCUGUGUCUCCAAUCACCUUUAUACCGGGGUCUGUGGGAGGAGCCAUGGUCAGUGGGAGAAGCCACAGGAGCAGUCAGCGGGAGGGGGGGGGGGCGUGUCCAGACAGGUAUAUGUAGUUCACCACAGGGAGAGACUAUGGUUAGGAAAGCAGAGCUAACAUGGAUAGAAGCAGUGUCCCAGGGAAGGUGGAAGACGUACCUACCUGUGCUGAGCUUUGCUGGAAAUGGUGCUUUUGUUAAGUGUUUUCAUUGUAUAGAUUAGAGGAACUUAACAAACCUCAGCAUCACAUAAAAAAAGAAUCUGUACUAAUAGAAUCUAAGUUGAUAGAGUUCACAGCCUAUAAUAUCCUCCUCCCCACAUGGCAUGCAAUUGGAUACACUUCACUAAUGUGUAUACGGGCCUUUGGAGUUACUUCAAAGUUUUCAGGGUACAGGUGGUGCUUUUUUUCCAAUUUUCCAUUGUGAGUGUCACCUUCAGUUUUUAGUGCUUUAUUUAAAAUGUUUUUAUUUCAAAGAUAAACUUUAUUCAUAAAAUAUUUGCAGGAAAUACAAAAAAUACAUGGUUUAUAUUCAUACAUUAAUAGUGUUGUCUGGUUUAUCUAUCUAUUGUGCUAUUACAUUAGUACAAUCUACUUACAAAGCUCAUGUGACCUGCUUAGACAAUUUGCCCUUCAGGUAUUUCCACAGGACCCAACCUCUCAGUGUCCAAUGGCAGCAGGAGUUUGGGUUGAAGUUCUUAUCACAAACCACUGAGUUGCUUGCAUCAAGUUUUAGCACGCACUCCUGCAACCUGUGAUGUGUCAGGCAGCAGUACUCCCUUAUGGACAUCACAUUGUACUGAAAGGCCAGCAAACUUCAGGCACCAAAAUGAGUCUUACCAAACUGAAUGAUCCUCCAGCAGCACUUGAAGUUUGUCUCACUGUUCAUCCCUGAGGACAGCCUGUAGAUCAGAGAGUCGUCAGUUUUGCAGCAUUUUGGGAUGAUCCUCAAAGAGGAACCUUGCAUCCUUUCCAAGCCUUCUUUGGCAGUGCACAGUCUGCAGAGGUGGGUGAUCGAUUCACAUCCCAAGGGGAAGGUGCACUAGGAAUGAGACUCCAAAUGUGCAGGAAGGAGCAGAUGUGGAAGCUCCCUCUCACUGCUAGCCAAGAGCUUGGGGCUUGAACAAUGAGGCAUUCAAUAAUGAUAAUGAUGAGGUAUUCUGCCAAAUAGUUUUGACAGUCUGCUUGGGGAACAAUCCCACAGGAUCCAUCAUGUCCUUCUCCCACAGUGCCUGCAGAGCAUUCCGUGCUGACUACUGGUUAAUGGAUUUGUAGUAAAAGGUGUUUCUUCCAAAUGAACUUUUCUGCCAAGGACAGGCAAUGCAGCAACUUUAACUGAAUAUGAUCUUACCAAGGUUAGGCCCAACCUUCACAGAUUGAUGUCAGUGUACAGUGGCACCUGGAGCUUGCAUACCUCUGUUCAAUGUACCAUUUGAUGCAGGCACACACAGAACCUUAAAACCAUUAAAGAAUUACUGAAGUAAUCUUUAGUUGCUAUAUUUUUAAGAACUAUAGGAAUUAAUGCUUAGGCCAGUGAAAUAAAUUUGUUAUGACUGCAGUUAUUGGAGGGCUUGAUUUUUGAGGAGGGACUGGAUAAACUGGGCUGUUUUCCUUGGAGUGAAGGAGGCUGAGGGGUGAACUUGUAGAAGUUUAUAAAAACAUGAGAAGUGUAGUUAAGGUGGAUGGUCACAGUUUUCUUUCCCCCAGGGUAGGAGCGUCUACAACUGAAAGCUAAAAAUUUAAGGUGAGAGAAGAAAUAUUCAAAGAGGAUCUGAGAGGCAAAAUUGUCACAUAGACAGUGGUGGGCAUAUAUAAUGAGCUGCCAGACAAAGUGGUAAGGGUGGAUACAAGCAUGGUUAAAAGACAUUUGGGCAGGUUCAUGAAUAGGAAAGGUAUAGAGGGAUAUGGGCCAAGUGCUGGCAAAUGGAACCAGCUCAGAAAGGCACCUUGAUCAGCAUGGAUCUGUUGGGACAAACGGCCUCUUUGCAAGUGUAUAAUUCUAUAGCGACAUGAAAAGUUUUGUUUCAAUUAUAUCAUUCGGUCAUAAUAUUUUUUAAUCAUACAAAGCGGGGAAUGAUUAAUUCUCUCUCCUUUUGAAUAUUUUAAUGUUGUUUGCUCCCUCUAUUCAACAGCAGUCAUUAGUAUACAUUGAGCUACACCCAAUUUACAUUGCGAUAUCACAUGAUGCAUUUGUGACUUGUUCCAGACAUGCAGCAUAAUUAACUACCCAUUACAAGAUGACCACAAAUUUAGUUGCCGGUACACAGUGUAGGGUGGGGCAGAAGAUAUUACCAAACCUGUGAAAGAUGUUCCAGUGGUGUGAACGCUGAAGCACAAAAACCUGCCAAGCAGUUCCAAUGCCCUUGAACUCCGUUGAUCAUCUCAAUUAUGCAAUUGUGAAUGUUGGCUUUACAUCAGUUCCUAGUAACACAGUUCAGUCUUCACAACACAGAGAAUUACCUGUGGCAAAAGUAUCGUGAUUGUUUCUACAAAUUUCUGCCAACAGUUGAUGAGCAAUUUGAAUCUCUGAGUAAUGGUUUGAGCAUAAUAUUUAUGCUAUCAACGUAUCUUCAAGAGAUUCAAUGUUUAUUGUUUUGAAAUAGUCCUGGAACUAUGCGGGUCUUCAGUUUCAAUGAACAGUCGAGUGAAAAGAUCAUUUAGUACCAGUGAAAACAAAAGGUGUUUAAUUUUGUGAAGUAAUUCAGAAGUUGUAGGACCAUUUUUACCUGAAUCAGCAGAACUUGUAAAGAACAACAAAUUUGGAACUGCAAAUUUGGCAUCUUUUGACACAGAAUGUUAUGUGCCAAGUUUCUACAGAUUUAGCUGGAGUUAUCGAGCACACUGAAUCUCACAUUUGAUUUUGCACUGAACAUUGCAGCAUCUCCAGAGUGAUGCUGAGGAAUGUGGUCCAGUGCAAGGUACAAAUAAAGUAGCAAUUUAUAUUCACAGAGCAGCAGCAAAGACCAAAGUUCCAAAGCAGAAUCUGAGGCAUAUAGAUAAGAUAUGCAUCAAUUGAUGUGAAUGAUGCUAUAGAAGGUAGUGUGUAUCAAUUCAAUAUACCAAAAAAAUUUUACUGCCAGAAAACUAGGCAGAUAUCUCCAGAAAGCAAGUCAAAAUCUAGGGAGUGAAUCAAAACUACUUCAGUGGAGUCAUUUUUUUUUCUGAGCAGAAGAUGCUGUAGUUUAAGGAAAUUGUGGUUUGGGAAAUUGUUAGUGAAGUGUGUUUGUGCAACAAUAGUCCAUAAAGACUAAACCACAUCUGUAAUCUCCCCAAUUAUCAUAUGAUAGAUAUUAUCUAAAUUGAGAUGUUGAAUGGCAGAUGAGGUUUAUAUAACAAUUGUGACCCUCAGGCUCGCCCGGCUCGUGUUCGUCUAGGAGAAUCAGCCUUCGGCCCCGCCGAGCUGGGUAAUCACGUUUGUGUGGAUGCUGUGUAAUGUACCCCCAGUUACAAACCCACAACGCAAAAUAUCAGACAGUACACUAUAUGCAAUCAAAUGACUGAACUUUAUGAAUGUUAACAUGAAUAUGGGGUUAUUAAUGAAAAUGAAAAAGGCCCAAGUCAAGUCAAAGUCCCGUUGGAGCUCCUUCUACCACCAUUGGUCUCCUCUGAAUGUCACAGACCCUCAGAUCCCAGUCCACUCCAUCUGGUGGUCUACCAGCUCUCUCCACGCACGCCUUCCCUCUUCAUCUCUCCUCGACAAAAGACCGUGAAAAGACACCUUUCUAGACUCACAGGACACAGCAACAUGCAUCCUGUUAUCUCCAGCCAUAACCCAAGCAUUGCUGCUACAGAGAAACCGUUACCUCAGCAGUGAACAUUACAAAGUAGCCAUUACAUUAGCAGUGAAACCUUACAGCACGUAACACAAGUUUAAUGUUCCUUGACCUCCUUGCUACACUGGACACAGUUGAACGUAUCAUCCUUAACUCUCCAAGUCUGCUCCAAACUGUCCAAAUGCAACUGGCUUAAUAUGAAGUUUUUUCUUUCUUUUCUUGUUUUAUCAAUGAAGGAGAACCCCCGGCCACCCCCCGCCCCCAAUAUUCUUGGCUCCAUUCUUUCCAUUAAGGAUAGGUUGUCUAGCCGUGACAUCAUCUGUUGACCUGGGGUAAGCAUGCAGACUGCUGACAUCUGGAUUUACUCACCAUUCUUCUUGAGAGUGCAGCCACUGGUGCGGAUUCACUGAGGGACCUUAUAUUUAACAUGCAACCUUCUGCCUGUGGGAAGACUUGACCAGCUUCAGAAUGGCUAAUAGCUACAAAAGUGGAGGGAAAAAGCUAUCAAAUACAGACACCUGAUGGGUCAGAUCAAAGACCUAACUGGCGCAGGGUCUGUGGAAUACUUCGGAUUUGUGGUCGGAGCGAGGGGUCUCUGGACAAAAAAGAAUGACGAACUGUUGCAGUUCAUCGGAGGCAGAGGAUUCAAGACAUUUGCAAGGAACAUUUGCAGCCUAACGAUCAGGCUGACGAUUGACGUCUUGCAGACGUUCAUGGACGGCUAGCUGGUGAAAGGUAACAGUCAGGUUGUGGGCAUGUAAUGUUGGUGCUGGAAUGUGUGGUGAUGCUUGAGAGCUGUCCGAACACAUCCUUCACUCUUUUUUGGUUAGUAACACAAAUAAUUCAUUUCUUUCCAAGGUACAUGUGAUAAAUAGAUGAAUCAGAUCUGGAGCAGCUCUAUUCAAUCAGCCCUCUGAGGAGUGUAUUAAGAACCUUGUAGCAAGUUUGUUAUUUUUCUAUGGCAUGAACACAAAUCUGGAUGUAUACCACUAUCAGGUCACCUCUCAUCCUCCAUCGCUCCAAGGAGAAAAGGCCGAGUUCACUCAACCUAUUCUCAUAAGUCAUGCUCCCAAAUCCAGGCAACAUCCUUGUAAAUCUCAUCUGCACCCUUUCUAUGGCUUCCACAUCCUUCCUAUAGUGAGGUGACCAGAACUGAGCACAGUACUCCAAGUGGGGUCUGACCAGGGUCCUAUCUGGCUGCAACAUUACCUUUUGGGUCCUAAGUCCCAUGAUUGAUGAAGGCCAAUGCACCAUAUGCUUUCUUAACAACAGAGUCAACCUGUGCAGCAUCUUUGAGUGUCUUAUGGACUUCGACUGUAAGAUCCCUCUGAUCCUCCACACUGUCAAGAGUCUUACAAUUAAUACUAUAUUCUGUCAUCAUAUUUGACCUACCAAAAUGAACCAACUCACACUAUACUGGGUUGAACUCCAUCUGGCUCUUCUCAGCCCAGUUUUGCAUCCUAUCAAUGCCUGCUGUAACCCCUGACAGCUCUCCACACUAUCCACAACAGCUCCAAUGUUUCUGUCAUCAGCAAAUUUACUAACCCAUCCCUCCACUUCCUCAUCCAGGUCAUUUAUAAAAUUCACAAAGAGUAGGGGUACCUGAACAGAUUCCUGAGGCACACCACAGGUGUGACCCAUCUACAACAACUGCUUGGCACAACUGUAGGCAAGCCAAUUCUGGAUCCACAAAACAAUGUCCCCAUGGAUCCCAUGCCUCCUUACUUUCUCAAUAAGCCUUGCAUGGGGUACCUUAUCAAAUGCCUUGCUGAAAUCCAUAUACACUAUGUCUACUGCUCUACCUUCAAUGUGUUUGGUCACAUUCUCAAAAAAUUCAAUCACGCUCGUAAGACAUGACCUACCUUUCAUAAAGCCAUGCUGACUACUCCUAAUCAUAUUAUACCUCUCCAAAUGUUCAUAAAUCCUGCCUCUCAGGAUCUUCUCCAUUAACUUACCAACCACUGAAGUAAGACUCAAUGGUCUGUAAUUUCCUGGGCUAUUUCUACUCCCAUUCUUGCGAAAUGGAACAACAUCGCAACCCUCCAAUCCUCCGGAUCCUCUCCCAUCCCCAUUGAUGAUGCAAAGAUCAUCACCAGAGGCUCAGCAAUCUCCUCCUUCAUCUUGUGCAGUGGCCUGGGGUACUUCCCUCUGGUCCUGGUCACUUAUCCAACUUGAUGCUUUCCUAAAGCUUCAGCACAUCCUCUUUCUUAAUAUCUACAUGCUCAAGCUUUUCAGUUCACUGUAAGUCAUCCCUACAAUCACCAAGAUCCUUUUCUGUAGUGAAUACUGAUGCAAAGUACUCAUUAAGUACCUCUCCUAUCUCCUCUGGUUCCAUACACACUUUUCUAUUCUCCUUGAAAUAAAUUCUGGCAUUGCAUUUGCCUUCUUUACCACAGACUCAACCUGUAAAUUAACCUUCUGGGAGUCUUGCACAAGGACACUUAAGUCCCUCUGCACCUCUGAUGUUUGAACCUUCUCCCCAUUUAAAUAAUAGUCCGCAUUAUUGUUCCUUUUACCAAAAUGCAUUAUCAUACAUUUUCCAACAAUGUAUUCCAUCUGCCUCUUUUUAAUCCUUUCUUCCAAUUAGUCCAAGUCCUGCUGCAAUCGCAUUGCUUCCUCAGCACUAACUACCCUUCCACCUGUCUUUGUAUAAUCUGCAAACUUUGUUACAAAGCCAUCAAUUCCAUUAUCCAAAUCAUUGACAAGCAAUAUGAAAAGUAGCGGUCCCAGUACUGACCCCUGAGGAACACCAUUAGUCACUGGCAGUGACUUUUAUUUCCACUCGCUGGUUUCUGCCUGUCAGCCAUUCCUCUAACUAUUUUGAAUCAAAACUGGUUAUUGAUUAUACUUUUCAGGCAUCGACAAAUUCUUUGGUGAUUUCCAUGCAAGUCAAAGAUCCUCACAGUUGUGUUUUGCAUUUUACUUAGGGAGGAGUUAAGACCAGAAAUAGCUGCACCGAGGAACAUGUUUUAAUAACAAUAAUAUCAAACUAUGCAGGUUAAAAGUACAACAUUAUAUAAAGUCCAUGCACAUUAAAUCAUCUGAAACAGCCUGGAGUCCACGUAAAAGCAGUUCCAUGUGGGAUUCUUUGUUUUACAUGAUUAACCACAGAAUUGAAUCAUUUAAAAAGGGAAUAUGGUUAAACCAUCCUUACGUAUUAUUAGAUAAGGAUAAAGUGUUCCAUUCAGCCAUUUGAGACCAAUCUGAUGUGCUGUUAGAUCAUUGGUAUCCAUAGAACAACAGCUUGUUAUACAUGCAAAGUGUCUUUAAUGUAGUAAAAUGUUCCUUUACAGAAUUUGACACUGAGGUAAGAAAAAUGGCAGAUGUCCAAACACAUCCAAGUUGCAGAUGUACCACUGCUGUUGGUAAAAUCUCAGAUGAUAAUGAGGCAUACAAGAGUGAGAUAGAUUGCCUGGUUGAGAACUAUUACCACUCCAGCCUCAAACUCAAUAUCAGCAAGACAAAGGAUUUGAUUACAAACUUCAGGAAGGGGAAGUUGGGAGAACAGACUCCAGGUGUCAUUGAGUGGACAGGGUGAGAGCAUUAGUUCCUGGAUGUGAACAUCCCAGAGGGUCUGUCCUGGGCCUGGCAUAUUGAUGCAAUCACAGCAAAGGCAUGCCAGUCACUCUUCUUUAUUCAGAGUCUGAAGAGAUUUGCUAUGUCUGCAUAUUUAUCUGGGCUUCUCAGAUGCUUUUCCAUAUUUAUCUGAACGUCCCUGUUAUCUAUUGCCUUAAUAAUUGCAGUUAUAAAGCGUAGGAUCAAUAACAUUGUAAUUUCCUCUCUUUAAGCCAAUGUUCAUAUCAAUAACUUGUAGACUCAAGAAUAUGGAGCUGAUAACCUUACAGUAAUAGAGUAUUAACUUUAUAAUAUGCUCACUGAAUCACACUCUUACCAUGAAAUGAAUUUUACAUAACACUUAAAAUAAUGUUGAGUCUCGACAAUACAUUUCUUUUCAAUGUACUAACCAUAGCUAAGUUAAAGGCUGUUUCAGCAAAUAAAGCAUACACAAAAUUGCUGAGAGUGAGCCUCACCUACUCUAAAUAUGGCUUCAGAGAACAAUUAAUGGCAUUUCUACAUGCUUACUGUUGUUGAUUGCUAUUUCUGUAAACUUUACAAAUUAAAUGUAAUAUUCAUCUGUAUAUAAUAAAUUGAAAAUCACAAUGGCAUGAAAUAUACUCUGGAUUGAGGACUUCAAUGCCCACUAACUGUAUAACUGGCCAGUCUGUCAAAUCCUGGGCUUACAAUAGGUUGCGUUAACACCAGAAUAAAGAAUAAGGCUGAGGCAUUUGCAGUUACCUUCAGUGGAUGAUCCAUCUCAAAAUUUUCUUGAGAUUCCCAACAUCAUUUAGUAUAAAUAAUAUAAAGAAACAGGCGAGAGUGCUUGGUAUAGUCAAACGCAUGGAACCA
Hypanus sabinus (Atlantic stingray) is the source of this 15581-nucleotide long non-coding RNA. RefSeq lists it as uncharacterized. Lineage: Eukaryota; Metazoa; Chordata; Chondrichthyes; Myliobatiformes; Dasyatidae. The record is from RefSeq and is a predicted model, not a curated record. The transcript has 3 exons.